Long non-coding RNA from Panicum virgatum (switchgrass), 2491 nucleotides. RefSeq lists it as uncharacterized. The record is from RefSeq and is a predicted model, not a curated record. Lineage: Eukaryota; Viridiplantae; Streptophyta; Magnoliopsida; Poales; Poaceae. The transcript has 2 exons.
GCCGCCGCCGAGACCUCCUCUAUGGCCGGCGACCUUGGAGCCGCCCCAACCCCAGCAACCCGGAUUCAUAAGGCCGCCGCCGCCCUCCACCACCCCGGCCGCCGGCGACCUCACCGGCGGCUGCUCCGCCCACCAUCCACCCAUUCCCGACCCCCCUCCCCCCUCCCCCUCCCCUAGCUGGCUAGCUCACCGGCUGUCGCGCCCCCUCCCCUGCCGGAGGUGGAAGAUGAACAUGGGCAAGCGCUGCUGCGAUUGGGCGGAGAAAAAUCAUGCGCGCGAUAAAAUAGAAAUUCCGGGCCGCUGCCCCUGCAGCCCCUCCAACGCCGACUGCAAGAGCAGGUGACCCUUUGUGCCCACCAUCGUCGAGUGCUAAUCCAUCUCCGCCUCCAUUUUCCUCCAUGUUACUUCUAUUGUUUUCUAGCUGCUAUGUUUUUCUCCAUUUGUGCAAAUCUAAAACAAAUCAGUCAGGUGAAGAUUCAUCCAUGCGCAGCAAUCAGUCCCUACAGAUGAAGAAGGUUCAAGUGCGGAAAGGCCUUGCACAGAAAGAAGAUGGGUCAAAGAAAAUUAUACUUGCAGUAUUACUUGGACUUUUGCCAUUAUAUAUGGAGGAGAAGAUUAAUUGGUGGUAUUCUUGUUUGUCUGGCCAUGUAUCUGAAUAGGAUUAAAUCAAGAAAAAGAAGGGCUAUAACUUAUGCUCCCAUGAAAGAUAGAGAUGUUGAUAGAUUGACACGUCUAAAUCGUUUGUAUCAUGGUACUGAUGCCCAUUGCAUAAGUGAAUUACGUAUGAGGAAAGCUAUCUUUCAUAAACUAUGUGACGGACUUAUAUCUUUCAUAAACUAUGUGACGGACUUAGAUCACGUGCGUUGCUAGAGGACACUUUUCAUGUGACAAUAGAGGAACAAGUUGCCAUGUUUAUCCAUUGUGUUGGGCACCAUUGGUCAAAUAGAUCAAUUGGUUUCAAGUUCAUGAGGUCAAGAGAAAAUGUUAGUAGGUAUUUUCAUCAUGCUUUACAUGCCCCUUUGUACCCUUGCUUGUGACCUCAUAUGCAUCAGAUCUAUUGAGACACAUUCAAAGAUAACAAGUUCUCCCAACAAAUUUCACCCUUAUUUUGAGGAAAAUCAAAAUUUCAAUGUUUUGAAAAAAACAAAUAUUUUUGUAGGGUUGAAUAGGAGCCUUGGAUGGUACACAUAUACCAGCCUCUGUACCUUUCCAUAUGCAAGAUCAGUUUAGGGGUAGAAAAUCAAUUACCAGCCAAAAUGUGCUAGCAGCAGUUGAUUUUGACCUAAGAUUCAUAUAUGUUCUUGCCGGAGGGAGGCUCAGCCCAUGAUUCUUUUGUGCUUCAAGAUGCUCUAUCAAGUGGACCGUCACUAUAGGUACCACAAAAAAAUUGCAAGUACAUUGCAACAACUUUGAGGAACAGUGGCAACAUAUUUGAUUAAACCAGAUGCAUUGUACUAUUUUAGAAUCUGAAAAAGUAGAAUUAACUGGAAGUUCAUUGUGAAUAUUUUUUUUAAUUAUUCUAUUUUAGAAUCUGAAAUCAAAUCACUAGUUCGCAUUAUAUGAAAUCAAUUUCAUUGUUCACAUGACUGUAGGACAGAGCAAGACACCUGCUUGCUAAGCCCAUCAAGUUCUUGUAUGAGAUGAGAGAACUAUUCAUAGGAUCCAAUGUAGAUGGACCUUUGGUUAUGGACCAGAACACAUGCAUGGAUGCUAAUGAUGGCUCAGAUAGUGACGAUUCAAUAGAACUAAUUAACCUCAAUUGCUACACACAGCCUGAAGAGCUAGAAGUGAGGAUUUAGACACUUAGCCAACUCCAACGAGAAAUGCUGUAUAUUCAGAUUUCACUGAUCACUUCUAGAGGAACCGUCCAAGAGCCAAUAACUCACUUCGAGAGGAAGCAUCCAAGAAGGCAAGAAAAAAGAGUCGUUUUGGAGAUUCCACUGAUGAAACAACUGCUACAAUGAAGUCACUUCGGGAAACACUUGCUGCCACUGCCCCUCCCCAAAUGCCACAGGUUACUAAUCCUCAUGCAGUAUUAUGGAAAAAACUGGAGGCAAUCCCAAUGACUCCAGAUCAGAGGGUUCUUAUUGGUGAACAUUUGUGAUCCACAAAGGAGAAUAAAGGUAAGCGUGGCUGGUUGUGUAAUGCAAGUGCUGAUACUCUGCAUGCUUGGGUACGGUGUUCAAUUAUGUGACAACUGACAAGGAUGGAAUUAACCUGUGAAGCUUAGCUUGCGAGAGUGGUUGUUCGUAUUUUGUGAUCUGCCCAAGAACUUGGCUGUGUGCUUAUUUUGGUUGUUCUGGGCUUAGGAUGUAUAAUAUAGUUGGAUGUUUGGUCAUUUGCUUUGUCAUACUGAUCCAUGCAUGGCUGGCUUCUUAUUUUGUAACUAAUACUUUAAUCUGAAUCUCCUUGGCCUAACCUCCUAGAAUAUAUUUAUUUAUGAAACUUGUCUUUCAUGCUUGUAAUAUUGUUCAAGCAUGUCAGGUUGUCA